RNAcentral lists this ribosomal RNA (537 nucleotides) under uncultured bacterium. Its description in RNAcentral is "bacterial SSU rRNA". It matches the Rfam family "Bacterial small subunit ribosomal RNA", at positions 8 to 526 of the family's 1533-position model. The record is from RNAcentral.
AGAGUUUGAUCCUGGCUCAGAACGAACGCGGCGGCGUGCUUAACACAUGCAAGUCGAACGGAAUGAAGGGGCUUGCUCUUUCAUUUAGUGGCGCACGGGUGAGUAACGCGUAGAUAAUCUGCCUGACGAUCUGGGAUAACACUUCGAAAGAGGUGCUAAUACCGGAUAAGCCCACGGGGUCUUUGGACUCUGCGGGAAAAGGGGGGGACCUUUUGGCCUUCUGUCGUCAGAUGAGUCUGCGUACCAUUAGCUAGUUGGUAGGGUAAUGGCCUACCAAGGCUACGAUGGUUAGCUGGUCUGAGAGGAUGAUCAGCCACACUGGAAGUGAGACACGGUCCAGACUCCUACGGGAGGCAGCAGUGGGGAAUUUUGCGCAAUGGGCGAAAGCCUGACGCAGCAACGCCGCGUGAGUGAUGAAGGCUUUCGGGUCGUAAAGCUCUGUCGAGGGGAAAGAAGUGUAUUGCGGUUAAUACCCGCUUUACUUGACGGUCCCCUAAGGAAGCCCGGCUAACUCCGUGCCGGCCGCCGCGGUAAUUC